Molecule: long non-coding RNA, 263 nt
Organism: Carica papaya (papaya)
Lineage: Eukaryota; Viridiplantae; Streptophyta; Magnoliopsida; Brassicales; Caricaceae
Source: RefSeq, a predicted model, not a curated record
AGCUUAUGAAUAUCAACAGCCAUGAAUUUCUCAUCACCUUUUCUUUUCAUCUUGUUACUCUCCCAUCUUCUUUCCCAUUCUACUUUCUCCACUGCCAAACUUGAAGAUGUCAAGAUGCAGAGAGAGAAAGAAUCGUCAAUACUGGAAUAUUUUCACGAGUCAUUUGGGCAUGGAGGUAAGAGGAAAGAGUUGCAUGAAGUACAUUCAGGACCAAAUCCCAUCAGCAAUGCUAUUCCUCAAUAUAAAAAUGAAAACUUGAACAA